AUUGAACGCUGGCGGCAUGCCUUACACAUGCAAGUCGAACGGUAACAGGUCUUCGGAUGCUGACGAGUGGCGAACGGGUGAGUAAUACAUCGGAACGUGCCUAGUAGUGGGGGAUAACUACUCGAAAGAGUGGCUAAUACCGCAUGAGAUCUACGGAUGAAAGCAGGGGAUCGCAAGACCUUGUGCUACUAGAGCGGCCGAUGGCAGAUUAGGUAGUUGGUGGGAUAAAAGCUUACCAAGCCGACGAUCUGUAGCUGGUCUGAGAGGACGAUCAGCCACACUGGACUGAGACACGGCCCAGACUCCUACGGGAGGCAGCAGUGGGGAAUUUUGGACAAUGGGCGAAAGCCUGAUCCAGCAAUGCCGCGUGCAGGAUGAAGGCCUUCGGGUUGUAAACUGCUUUUGUACGGAACGAAAAGCCCCGGGUUACUACCCUGGGGUCAUGACGGUACCGUAAGAAUAAGCACCGGCUAACUACGUGCCAGCCGCCGCUGUAA
This 497-nucleotide ribosomal RNA is filed under the name uncultured bacterium. RNAcentral describes it as "partial 16S ribosomal RNA". It matches the Rfam family "Bacterial small subunit ribosomal RNA", at positions 30 to 523 of the family's 1533-position model. The record is from RNAcentral.